UACGUAGGCAGCGAGCGUUGUUCGGAGUUACUGGGCGUAAAGGGUGUGUAGGCGGUUCUUUUAAGUUUGGUGUGAAAUCUCCCGGCUCAACCGGGAGGGUGCGCCGAAUACUGAGGGACUCGAGUGCGGGAGAGGAAAGUGGAAUUCCUGGUGUAGCGGUGAAAUGCGUAGAUAUCAGGAGGAACACCGGUGGUGUAGACGGCUUUCUGGACCGUAACUGACGCUGAGACACGAAAGCGUGGGUAGCAAACAGG
Molecule: ribosomal RNA, 254 nt
Filed under: uncultured bacterium
Lineage: Bacteria
Description: partial 16S ribosomal RNA
Rfam family: Bacterial small subunit ribosomal RNA
Source: RNAcentral